GUCCAGCUGGCGGAUAUCUGAGACGAGUGAAAGGAGAAAAAAUGAAGGCAAAGAUCCCUUUCCCCCAAAUACACACAGACACCAAAUGUGGCCUGAGACGUCCUGCCACACCAUGUGUCCUUGUGUUUGUGUAUUUGCAGUAGCACAUACAAAAUUCUUAUUCACACGUACCAAUACAUCUUAUUCUUAAUCUACCCAGUAUAAUCUGUAAUGUACUCAGACAAAAUAAGCCAUAUAGCAUGCAACACACAUACUGUGUACUCUACAUAUCCAAGGCCCUAUAGCAUAAAUACAAGCCCUCUGUCUUUCAUUGCGAUUAAGAGGAAUCAAGUAUGUGUGUGAAUGCGUGCGGAUAUCAGGAGAACCCUUCUUCCCUCCGGACAGACAAAUCGCUCCCUGAGUUUACUUGUGUCACACAACACACACACUGAUGCGUCUACCAUCCAAUCAUGUGACCAGACCAAGGGCUGAAAUCUGAUCUGUGUUCACACACUCCUUUCAGAACAAGGUCAGACACAAUACAAUUCACAAAGCACGGGAGGAGGAGGAGGAAGAGGAGGAGGAGAAAGGGAGGUUAUGGUGAAGGUGACUACAGAUGGUGUCUUGAUGCAUGGCAGGGAUAAUUCGGCCAGGAACGGAGUGCGACAGGAGUCCAUGUGGAGUGAGCAUGUAGAAAGAUCCGUUCCAAAACUUCUCUCAUGUUGCUGGUAUACUGGAUGACAAAUGGACAAGACAUAAUGGGUGGUAAAGGUGGUGGCGGCUCAGGUGAGACAUUGAAAUUGGGACAUUAUCAUGGGCCAUCCACUUCGAACUAUGAAGCUAUCUGAAGAAGACAAUGAAGAGACGCCAGAAGAUUGAGUGCCGGGGACGGAAGGGGUUGGUCAACUGUGCCCGUAAAUUAUUUUGAUUGUCUAAAAAUGUUUAUUUGGGUUAUCAAGUUGAUUGUAGAGGUCUAUACAAUGCUACAUUUACAGUAAUUUAGAUUAAGAAUGCAUUACGAUACACUUUGAAGUUUGUGGAAAUGUGAAAUUAAUGUAGGAGAAAAUAACUCAUUAGACCUGGUAAAAGAUAAUCAACAACAAAAAAUACAUGCAUUUUCACAUUUCUUGUGUGCCAUCAUUUUGAAAUGCAAGAGAAAGGCCAUUUAUAUGACUUAGGACUCAAGACGCAAUUUACAUUUUGGCCACUAGAUGGCAGCAGUGUAUGUGAAAAGUCUUAGACUGAUCCAAUGAACCAUUGCAUUACUGUUCAAAAUGUUGUCAAGUCUGCCCAAAUGUGCCGAAUUGGUCAAUUGAUACAUUUAAGUACAUAACUACAGAGAACAUACAAUUUGUAUUACCAUAUCAUUUUUGAAAGUUUACACACUCCCAGGAAUGUCAUAAAUGAUGGAUAAUUAACUUCCCUACAGAAAAGACACUAACCUCCACACAUCUAGAUGGGGGGGCAGACAGCAGGGGUUCAAAUUAUAGAAACCAGUUCCUACAUUUGAAUAUAAAAAUGGAUUUUUUUCCCCAAAAAAACUAUACUACAUCUUAUCUCUGGGACCCUCAGGAUGAAAAAUCAGAGCAAGAUUACUGAAUGUAACCUUCAGAGGUGAAUGUAUCAAACCAGUUGCCAUGACAAAAGUGUUUGUUGUUGUGCACUCUCCACAAACAAUAGCAUGGCAUUUCUUUCACUGUAAUAGCUACUGUAAAUUGGACAGUGCAGUUAGAUUAACAAGAAUGUAAGCUUUCUGCCCAUAUAAGACAUGUCUAUGUCCUGGGAAAUGUUCUUGUUACUUAAAACGUCAUGCUAAUCACAUUAGCGCACGUUAGCUCAACCGUCCCGGGGGGAGGACACUGGUCAUGUAGAGGUUAAAGUCUUUCUUUGCUUAUUUGAGCUGUUUUUGCCAUAAUAUGGACUUGGUCUUUUACCAAAUAGGGCUGUCUUCUGUAUACCACCCCUACCUUGUCACAACACAACUGAUUGGCUCAAAUGCAUUAAGAAGGAAAGAAAUUCCACAAAUUAACUUUAAGCAAGGCACACCUGUUAAUUGAAAUGCAUUCCAGGCGACUUCCUCAUGAAGCCGGUUGAGAGAAUGCCAAGAGUGUGCAAAGCUGUCAUCAAGGCAAAGGGUGGCUACUUUGAAAAAUCUAAAAUAUAUUUUGAUUUGUUUAAAACUUUUUGGGAACCUACAGAAUGUGUAAUUCCAUGUUGAUGUCUUCACCAUUAUUCUACAAUGUAGAAAAUAGUAAAAAUAAA
Molecule: long non-coding RNA, 2241 nt
Filed under: Salmo salar (Atlantic salmon)
Lineage: Eukaryota; Metazoa; Chordata; Actinopteri; Salmoniformes; Salmonidae
Description: lncRNA (ENSSSAG00000082308.1)
Source: RNAcentral